UACGUAGGUCCCGAGCGUUGUCCGGAUUUAUUGGGCGUAAAGCGAGCGCAGGUGGUUUAUUAAGUCUGGUGUAAAAGGCAGUGGCUCAACCAUUGUAUGCAUUGGAAACUGGUGGACUUGAGUGCAGGAGAGGAGAGUGGAAUUCCAUGUGUAGCGGUGAAAUGCGUAGAUAUAUGGAGGAACACCGGUGGCGAGAGCGGCUCUCUGGCCUGUAACUGACACUGAGGCUCGAAAGCGUGGGGAGCAAACAGG
Molecule: ribosomal RNA, 252 nt
Filed under: uncultured bacterium
Lineage: Bacteria
Description: partial 16S ribosomal RNA
Rfam family: Bacterial small subunit ribosomal RNA
Source: RNAcentral